This 495-nucleotide ribosomal RNA is filed under the name uncultured bacterium. RNAcentral describes it as "partial 16S ribosomal RNA". It matches the Rfam family "Bacterial small subunit ribosomal RNA", at positions 28 to 507 of the family's 1533-position model. The record is from RNAcentral.
GUUGAACGCUGGCGGCGUGCCUAAUACAUGCAAGUAGAACGCUGAAGGAGGAGCUUGCUCUUCUGGAUGAGUUGCGAACGGGUGAGUAACGCGUAGGUAACCUGCCUGGUAGCGGGGGACAACUAUUGGAAACGAUAGCUAAUACCGCAUGACAACAGUUAUUGCAUGAUAACUGUCUAAAAGGGGCAACUGCUCCACUACCAGAUGGACCUGCGUUGUAUUAGCUAGUUGGUGAGGUAACGGCUCACCAAGGCGACGAUACAUAGCCGACCGGAGAGGGUGGUCGGCGAAAAUGGGACUGAGACAACGCCCAGAAUCCUUCGGGAGGCAGCAGUAGGGGAAUUUUGGCAAUUGACGGAAGGCUGACCGAACAACGCCGCGUGAGUGAAGAAGGUUCUCGGGUCGUAAAGGUCUGUUGUAAGGGGAGAACGAGUGUGAGGGUAGAAAGUUCACACUGUGACGGUAUCUUAACAGAAAGGGACGGCUAACUACGUG